This 241-nucleotide ribosomal RNA is filed under the name uncultured Actinomycetales bacterium. RNAcentral's name for it is "partial 16S ribosomal RNA". It matches the Rfam family "Bacterial small subunit ribosomal RNA", at positions 89 to 334 of the family's 1533-position model. The record is from RNAcentral. Lineage: Bacteria; Bacillati; Actinomycetota; Actinomycetes; Actinomycetales.
ACUCGAGUGGCGAACGGGUGAGUAACACGUGGGUGAUCUGCCCUGCACUUCGGGAUAAGCCUGGGAAACUGGGUCUAAUACCGGAUAGGAGCCAUUUUUAGUGUGAUGGUUGGAAAGUUUUUCGGUGUAGGAUGAGCUCGCGGCCUAUCGGCUUGUUGGUGGGGUAAUGGCCUACCAAGGCGGCGACGGGUAGCCGGCCUGAGAGGGUGGACGGCCACAUUGGGACUGAGAUACGGCCCAG